Molecule: ribosomal RNA, 349 nt
Filed under: uncultured bacterium
Lineage: Bacteria
Description: bacterial SSU rRNA
Rfam family: Bacterial small subunit ribosomal RNA
Source: RNAcentral
AGAGUUUGAUCAUGGCUCAGGAUGAACGCUAGCUACAGGCUUAACACAUGCAAGUCGAGGGGCAGCAUGUUGGUUGCUUGCAACCAAUGAUGGCGACCGGCGCACGGGUGAGUAACGCGUAUCCAACCUACCCUUGUCCAUCGGAUAACCCGUCGAAAGGCGGCCUAACACGAUAUGCGGUUCUCAGCAGGCAUCUAACGAGAACGAAAUGUGAAGGAGAAGGAUGGGGAUGCGUCUGAUUAGCUUGGUUGGCGGGGUAACGCCCACAAGGCGACGAUCGAGUAGGGGUUCUGAGAGGAAGGUCCCCCANAUUGGAACUGAGACACGGUCCAAACGUCCUACGGGAGCA